UACGUAGGGUGCAAGCGUUAAUCGGAAUUACUGGGCGUAAAGCGUGCGCAGGCGGUGCUGUAAGACCGAUGUGAAAUCCCCGGGCUUAACCUGGGAACUGCAUUGGUGACUGCAGCGCUGGAGUAUGGCAGAGGGGGGUGGAAUUCCACGUGUAGCAGUGAAAUGCGUAGAGAUGUGGAGGAACACCGAUGGCGAAGGCAGCCCCUGGGCCAAUACUGACGCUCAUGCACGAAAGCGUGGGGAGCAAACAGG
RNAcentral lists this ribosomal RNA (252 nucleotides) under uncultured bacterium. Its description in RNAcentral is "partial 16S ribosomal RNA". It matches the Rfam family "Bacterial small subunit ribosomal RNA", at positions 524 to 776 of the family's 1533-position model. The record is from RNAcentral.